Morus notabilis is the source of this 415-nucleotide long non-coding RNA. RefSeq lists it as uncharacterized. The record is from RefSeq and is a predicted model, not a curated record. The transcript has 2 exons. Lineage: Eukaryota; Viridiplantae; Streptophyta; Magnoliopsida; Rosales; Moraceae.
UUUUGUCCGGUUGUUACCUGCCUCAGCCUAAGACCCGAAACGCACCAGAAACGAAAAUCUUCAGGAGAAGAACUCGGAAGAAGAAGAUGAUAUAUCGGAAAUGGAGCUUGUUAACACUCCCGGCGGUUCUCGGCGGCGUAGGGGCCACCGUAGCGCUCGCUAGCUUUGUCGUCUUCCAAAACAAUCCAUUUAGUACUCUAAAGGAAAAGAUCCCGGAUUCAGUUCGCAGUGAGGCAGCGACCAAGUGAAAGGAUGAAGGUGAACAACGUUUGUGUUUCUGCCAUGUUGGUUCUGUAUUUUGGGACAUGAUUUUGUAGUUAAUAAUUUCAAAUGGAAGUGAAGUUCUGAUAUUGGUGUGUUUUUCUCGAGUUUUACUGCAAUAAUAAUUUGAAAUUGGAAUCGAGUUCUGAUCUGA